Molecule: ribosomal RNA, 253 nt
Filed under: uncultured bacterium
Lineage: Bacteria
Description: partial 16S ribosomal RNA
Rfam family: Bacterial small subunit ribosomal RNA
Source: RNAcentral
UACGUAGGAGGCGAGCGUUGUCCGGAUUUACUGGGCGUAAAGGGCGCGCAGGCGGCCUUGCAAGUAGCGUGUGAAAUCCACCUGCUCAACGGGUGGGGUGCAUGGUAGACUGCAGGGCUAGAGGACGGUAGAGGGGGGUGGAAUUGCUGGUGUAGCGGUGAAAUGCGUAGAGAUCAGCAGGAACACCCGUGGCGAAGGCGGCCCCCUGGGCCGUACCUGACGCUGAGGCGCGAAGGCUAGGGGAGCAAACGGG